RNAcentral lists this long non-coding RNA (201 nucleotides) under Phoenix dactylifera (date palm). Its description in RNAcentral is "long non-coding RNA (PDAC_LNC015195)". Lineage: Eukaryota; Viridiplantae; Streptophyta; Magnoliopsida; Arecales; Arecaceae. The record is from RNAcentral.
AAGGCAGCGGAGACGUCCCCUGAAAGAGCGGAGUCGACUCUCUCAGAGAAUUUUAGAAGACAUGUUUUUCGGAGUUAUAACGACGGAGUCGUCCCCAAGGCAGCGGAGUCGUCCCCAUGCAAAAAGUGCAAACAAGCCGAGACGUCCCUGUAAAGCGCCGAGGCGACCCUCUCAGAAAAACAGAAAAACAAGGAUUCAAAC